This 146-nucleotide small nucleolar RNA is filed under the name Castor canadensis (American beaver). Its description in RNAcentral is "Small nucleolar RNA SNORA51 (ENSCCNG00000023311.1)". It matches the Rfam family "Small nucleolar RNA SNORA51". Rfam says of the family: ACA51 is a member of the H/ACA class of snoRNA that guide the sites of modification of uridines to pseudouridines. Lineage: Eukaryota; Metazoa; Chordata; Mammalia; Rodentia; Castoridae. The record is from Rfam by way of RNAcentral.
UGCCUCCUGGUGUUUACCAGAGGCUGUUCUUACAAUGACUAUAUAAAAAGAGGAGGCAAAGUACACCUACCCCAUAUACCCCAUAUACCUCAUAUACCUCAGCCUAGGCCCUGUGCCUCGUCUGUAUUGUGAAUGGGGAGACAUGG